Molecule: ribosomal RNA, 18182 nt
Filed under: Nuttallia olivacea
Lineage: Eukaryota; Metazoa; Mollusca; Bivalvia; Cardiida; Psammobiidae
Description: 16S ribosomal RNA
Rfam family: Bacterial large subunit ribosomal RNA (bases 14551-14914)
Source: RNAcentral
AUAGGGAGGUCCUUUUCGGGCAAAAUAUUAUAUUUUUCUUCGCCCCUUGGCGGGGAAUAUAAAAGCCUUGUACGAUGGAUGAUAAGAACUAAUCAUAAGGAUAUUGGAAGUUUGUAUCUUAUUGUUGGAUUUUGAGCAGGAUUAGUAGGUUUAGUGUUUAGAGUGAUAAUACGUACGGAGUUAAUACAUCCAGGUCCUUUUUAUGGGGCUUCUAUUUAUAAUGUCUUAGUGACUACACAUGGGUUGUUUAUGAUUUUCUUUAUAGUAAUGCCUUUAAUGUUAGGAUUUUUUGGUAAUUGAUUAAUUCCAAUUUUAUUGGCGGUACCUGAUAUGUGCUUUGCACGAUUAAACAAUCUAAGAUUUUGAUUAUUACCUCCUGCUAUUGCUAUAGUAUUAAUAUCUAAUACUAUUGAAGAAGGGGUAGGGACAGGAUGGACAUUAUAUCCUCCUCUUGCUGCUUGGGCAGGGCACCCAGCUCCUGCUAUAGAGUUUAUAAUUUUAGGCUUACAUAUUGCGGGUAUAUCUUCAAUUUUUGGGGCUAUUAAUUUCGCUAGAACAGGUGCUAACAUGCGUCCAGAGGGUAUUGCGCCUCAGCGUGCUACUCUUUUUGUGGGUUCAGUAUUUAUUACUUCUUUUUUAUUAAUUGUUGCUAUACCUGUGUUAGCAGCUGGUUUAACUAUACUUUUAACUGAUCGAAGAUUUAAUACUUCAUUUUUUGACCCAGUAGGAGGAGGGGAUCCAGUUUUGUUUAUUCAUUUGUUUUGAUUUUUUGGGCAUCCUGAAGUAUAUAUUUUAAUUUUACCAGGAUUUGGAAUAAUUUCACAUGCUACUGCGGUGUAUAGUGGUAAGAAGGGUGCAUUUGGGGUGUUAGGAAUAGUUCAUGCAAUAAUUAGGAUUGGUAUCUUAGGGUUUUUAGUAUGGGGGCAUCAUAUAUUUACAGUAGGUAUUAAUAUCGAUAGUCGAGCUUAUUUUAGAGGAAUUACUAUAGUUAUUGCUGUUCCUACAGGUGUAAAGGUAUUUAGAUGGCUAGGUACUAUUACUGGAGGUGUAGUUCGUAAGAGGGCUAGAAUGGUGUGGGCUUUAGGAUUUCUAUUUUUAUUCACAUUUGGUGGUUUAACUGGUAUUAUUUUAUCUAGUGCUUCAUUGGACGUAGUGCUUCAUGAUAGAUAUUAUGUAGUAGGCCAUUUUCAUUAUGUGUUAAGUAUGGGUGCAGUUUUUGCUAUUUUUUGUGGGUUUCAUCAUUGGUUCCCUAUAAUAAGGGGAAUUGGUUUACAUCCAGUAUGAAGGAAGGGACAUUUUAGAGGAAUAUUUAUAGGUGUAAAUGCCACAUUUUUUCCUCAUCAUAUUUUAGGGUUGGCUGGAAUACCGCGGCGUUAUUCAGAUUAUCCUUAUUGUUUUAAGAAGUGGCAUAGAGUUUCUAGUUGGGGAGCCUUUGGUGAUUAUGUGGCCACUUGAUUUUUCUUAUUUAUUUUGUGGGAAGGUAUCAUCUCACGUCGGCCCUUAAUUUUUGCUGCCGCACGAGGGACCUUUUUAGAGUAUGCUCAACAUCCCUUGCCUCAUGCGCAUCAUAAUUGGCGUCAAAACCCUUUGAUUUAUGCUUUUCCUAAGGGUAGUCAUUAUAAGGUUAAUGGAUAUGUUCGAACAGUUAAGAUGAAGGAUGGUGGCGAAGUAAUAAGGAGAAAUCCUGCUUUCUAUAGAGAUCAAAAUUUUAUAGAUCGUGGUUGAGGUUGAAGAAAUACUAAGGUUGAAGUGCAAUAAAGUAUUUAUUGAAUAUGAAGAGGUUAUUGGCUACUUAUCGUAGUGUCAGAAAGUUUAAGGUAGAGCCCAUGGGGUUAAUCCUUCUAGGGUUAAGGGCUAUAAUAAUUGCUUCCGUUAGGUCUUAUCAGACUUAUGUAGAUAGUGUUAUUAUGAAGACUAGUUGGUGGAUAUCGGACUCUUUAAGAGUUGUUUUAAUUAGCCUUACUAUUAUUGUAACCAUAAUCAGAUUACUAUGUAGAGAUGAAGAUUUUAGGUUAAAUAAGAGGUUAACCACAUUUAGGUUAUGUGUGUGUAGAAUUACAUUUUGUUGUAUUAUGUUUUUUAUUAGGUGUAACUUAAUAGUGUUUUAUUUCUUUUUUGAGAGUAGUCUAAUUCCUACUACAAUUUUGAUUUUAGGCUGAGGGCAUCAGCCUGAGCGACUACAAGCAGGAAUACAAAUAGUUUUAUAUACCGUUUAUGGUUCACUACCUAUAUUAGUGUUAUUCAGUUUUGUUUGAUUAGGAAGAGGUACUAGUAAUAUAGUUAUAUUAGCUCUUCUGCAUGAGAGAUUUCUUCCUAAGGUUUCUAUUGUAUGGUUCUUUCUUUUUAUUGGAAUAUUAGUAAAAAUUCCUGUAUUUUUGGUACAUGGCUGAUUACCAAAGGCCCAUGUAGAGGCGCCUGUGAGUGGGUCAAUAGUUUUGGCAGGAGUUUUACUGAAGAUAGGUCUCUAUGGAGUUUGUCGUGUGAUUUGAAGGUUUGGGUGUCCUCCAGCUAAUAUUUCUUUUAUAUUUAUAACAAUUGCAUUAUGGGGUGGGGUUUUGUGUUCUUUUAUGUGCCUUUGUUUUCAUGAUCUUAAGUCUGUUAUUGCCUAUUCAUCAAUUGCACAUAUAUCUAUAGCUUUAAGUGGUAUUUUGACUAUAAGUAAUGUUGGAUGAAUGAGAGGGAUUUGCAUAGGGGUUGUACAUGGGUUAUGUUCUCCUUGUAUAUUUGCUUUGGCAAAUUAUACAUAUAGGCUUACAGGUUCCCGUAGAACAAUAAUAUGUAAGGGAGUACUAAAGGUUGCCCCAAUUUUAAGAAGUAUAUGGUUUAUUUUUUGUAUUAUUAAUAUAGGUUGUCCGCCUACUCCUAAUUUCUAUAGGGAGUGUCUUCUGUUUUCUAGAAUUAGAGGUUUUAGUAGUGUGCUUUAUCUGCCUCUUUACUUUAUAUGUUUCCUUGCCGCAGCAUUUUCUUUAUUUAUUUAUGCCUCAGUAAACCACGGGUAUCAGGGAGUUAUAGUGCGCCCAAGUAGAGGCUUAAGAGUGCGGUUUUUAAUUUCCAUGUCUGUUAGUGGUUUAUUUUUAAUUAGGAUGUUUUUAUUUUUAGAUAUAGUAUUUUUAUAAGCAGGUGUGGAAGUAGUUUAUUAAAAAUGUUGCUUUGUGGACGCAAAGAUAAGCUUACAGUUUCUUUCAUAGAUCUUUGCUGGGCAGUGUUAGCUUUGAAAGCUUACUAAAGGCGUUCGAAUCGUCUAUAGGUCUGUCCUUAUGGUGUAAUUAACACGUUAGGUUUUCAACCUAAAGAUAAAGUACUAUGCUUUUAAGAACUGUGAAUAAUGUGGGAGCAGGAGUAAUUUUUUUAGUAGGCCUAUUUAUGAUUAGUUGGGGCUUGGUUUUAGUGGGGCUGGUUUUGAGUAAGAAGAUGCGUUUUAAUCGUGAAAAGAUAAGCACGUUUGAAUGUGGAUUUGAGCCCCUAAGGAGUGCACGUCAGGCAUUUUGCUUACGAUUUUUUCUAUUGGCAAUUAUUUUUGUAGUAUUUGAUGUAGAAAUAGCUUUAUUGAUUCCUUAUAUACUUACUAUUGGAGAAUUUAUGGCGAGGAGCACACGGGUUUACGUAUUUAUCUUUGUUGGAGUGUUAUUAGUAGGUUUAUUACAUGAAUAUAAUGAAGGAUCAUUAGAUUGAGCUGUGUAGAACUUGUUUUAGUAGCUUAAUAAAGCAUAUGACUCUUAAUCAUAGGAUGUAGAUGAAUUCUCUACCUAAGACUAUGUAUUCAUAUAUUGCAUUGAUUUUAAUAGGAGUGGGUGUAUGAUUAAUUUUGGAUCAAAAGUAUCAUUUCUUAAGAGUUUUAUUAGCUAUAGAAAUUUUAACUUUAAGUGUUAUUUUUUUAUGUGCAUCAUUUUUGGGUAUAGGGUUUAAUUUAUCAGGAAUUAAUUUUAGACUUUUAUUUAUAGUGCAUGUUGUAAUUGAGGUGGCUAGAGGGUUAGCACUCUUAGUUAGGCGUACGCGUGCUACAGGUACAGAUAAGUUGUCUAAUAUUUUUAGCUCUCGAUUUUAAUGGGCGACGGCUGUUGAAGUGGUGAGUUGUAGCCUCAUUUAUGGGGAUAAUAUCCUCUCUCCCGGCUAUAUAGCUUAAUUAGAGCAGUGGUUUUGUAAUCCUCAGGUACGUAGAAAUGUUAUAGCCUAUUGUGGUAGUAGAAGAAAAUAUAUAAGGCUUAGGACCUUAGGAUGGGAGAUGUUCCCCACAAUGAAGAGGUAGUUUAUAAAAAUAUUAGGUUGUCAGCCUAAAGAUGCCUAUUAGCAGGUCCUGUUCUCUCAGGGUAGUAGAAUUAAAUACGUCGGAGUUAAGGCCCGAAAAUGGGUUAUAACCCUCUUGAGAAUGAUGGUUCAAGGAAUUACCUGUGUUGUGACAUUUUUUAUUAUUUUAUUGGGAGUAGCUUACUUUGUAGUUACUGAGCGUAAGGUGCUAGGAAUAAUCCAACGUCGACACGGUCCAAAUAAGCCAAGGCUUGUGGGGCUACUUUUGCCUAUUGCGGAUGGGGUAAAGCUUCUUGCAAAGGAGUGAAUUGUUCCUACUGCGGCAAACCAGGGUUUGUAUUUAUUAGGUCCUGUUUUCUUUUUUUUCUUCUCUUAUGGGUUAUGAUUAGUUUAUCCGGUAGGAAAUCCAAUAAUUUAUUUUAAGUUGAGGGUAUUAUAUUUUUUAUGUAUAUCUAGUGUAAAAGUUUUUGGGGUAAUUAUAUGCGGGUGAAGAUCUAAUUGUCAAUAUGGGUUGUUAGGGGCUGUUCGGGCUGCUUCGCAAAGAAUUUCAUAUGAAAUUGGAUUUAAUACUCUUCUUUAUUGCCCUCUGCUGUAUAUUGGAACAUAUGAACUCUAUGAAGUGCGGUUGUUCAAUGGGUUAUUUAUUUUAAUUAGAGUUGAAGUAUUUUUAAUAUGGUUUAUUUGUGCUCUAGCAGAAACAAAUCGAACACCUUUUGAUUUUGUUGAAGGGGAGUCAGAACUGGUUUCUGGUUAUAUAGUGGAGUAUGGGGGAUUUGGCUUUACAUUACUAGUAUUAGCAGAGUACGGGAGAAUUAUUUUUAUAAGUAUGAUUACGGCUGUAUUGUUUUUUAGGGUAUGCAGAGAGGUGCUGUUGCUAGGAGAUAUAAUAAUAGUGGUAAUCAGAGUAGUUAUUAGAUAUAUAUUUAUCGUAAUUCGUGGGGCUUUUCCACGUUAUCGAUAUGAUAAGUUAAUGGAACUCUGUUGAAAGGUAAUUUUACCUAUAUCCUUGUCUCUUUUUAUACUAUUUAUAGCUACAGGAGUUUAAAAUAAGCUUUAUUUUAAAUAGAAUUUCUAGUUGUUACCUAGAAGGUACAAAUAUUUGUAGGCUUAGAAUGUUAAGAUUUAAGAAGGUGUUUGUAUUUGCUAAUAGGUUGGUAUGUGUGCUGUUUUGGUGUUUUUAUUUAGGACAAAAGUUUUUAUUUAUAAGGAGAGUAGUGGUAGAAUUUGAAGUUUUACGUGGAACUCCAUUGUUGGUGAGAGUUCCAAUUAUAAUAGAUACCCUUAGAAUAUCUUUUUGUUGCGUGGUAUUACUUAUCUCUAGGUGUGUAAUAUUAUAUAGAGGGUUUUAUAUAAGUGAUGAGCAGUAUUAUAACCGGUUUUGUAAGUUAGUAUUGUUGUUCGUAGCUUCAAUAUUGGCUUUAACAUUAAUUCCUAAUUUAAUUGGGUUAAUAAUUGGAUGGGAUGGGUUAGGGUUAAGGUCUUAUUUGUUAGUAGUAUACUAUCAGGAUAAACGUUCACUUGGGGCAGGAACUUUAACUGUCCUCAGAAAUCGUAUUGGGGAUGUUAUGUUUUUUAUAGGAAUUAGGUUGGUUAGAGGAAUUUCGGCGUGGAAUUUCGUGGAUAUACAGGAUAUAAGGUACAUAACAGUUUUAGUAGGUAUUAUUAUUGUAGGGUGUAUGACUAAGAGGGCUCAAAUACCUUUUUCUGCUUGAUUACCUGCGGCUAUAUCAGCUCCAACUCCAGUCUCGGCUUUAGUACAUUCUUCUACUUUAGUAACAGCGGGGAUUUAUGUGUUAGUUCGGUUCUCAGUGCAUAUUGAUGGAGUGUGAUUUUUAAUUCUUAGGAGAGUAGCUAGGCUUACUAUAAUUAGUUCAUCAGUUAGUGCAUUUUAUGAGCUAGAUAUAAAAAAAGUAGUAGCUUUAUCUACUUUGAGUCAAUUAAGGGUGAUACUUUUAUCUUUAGGAGUAGGGGCCUAUAGUAUUUGUAUAUUCCAUCUAUUAAGGCAUGCUUUAUUUAAGGCAUUAAUAUUUUUAUGUGUUGGGAGGGUUAUUCAUGUUAGGGGAAUUCAGGAUAUUCGCUAUGUAGGAGGGGUAGGGAAGAUCAGUCCUAUUGUAGCAGCAUGGUUAUUUGUUGCGUUAUUUUCUUUAAUAGGACUGCCUUUUUUGGCAGGAUUUUAUUCUAAGGAUAUAGUUCUAGCUGCGUAUUUAUCGGGAUUAUGCAACCCUUUACAGUUGGUUUUAGUGUGUAUUUCCACAUGUUUAAGGGUUAUAUACAGGUUUUGAUUGUUAGCAUGUAUUUAUCCAGCACGCAUAUAUAUAAGAUAUAUGUGAGGCUUAGGAAAUGAUCUAUAUACUAGAGUAGCUUGUAGAGUGUUAGGAUUAGGGGCUUUGUUUGGCGGUGUAAUUAUACAAAGGGUGAUUUUAAGGUUUUCCGAUGAGUGUAGAGUAGAUACUCAAUUAAAGUUAAUACCUUUUGUAUGUUUUAUAUUAGGACUAUUAGCUAUAAUAUAUAUUAUUACAUCUAGGUUAGAAGAAUUAUUUAGGGUAAAUAAGUUCAGGGAGUUGAGAAAAGAUAGGUCUACUCAAGCAUACUAUGAUAGGUGAGCAACUUUAUGGUUUUUGCCUUAUUUAAGUGCUGGUUUAUAUAUUAAUAGAGUAAUAAGAUCUAGAGCGAGGCUUAAAAGUGAUGUAGAAGAUGGUUAUAUGGAAAAUAGAUUUGGCAGCGAAGGAAUUUGAGCUGUUAGAAAGAUUGUUAGAAGGCAGUUUAUACAUAUUCAGCGGGAUCAGUUAUCUAAUCGCAUGGGGACGGCCUUUAUUAAGGGUGUAGUAUUUAUGAUAGUAAUUUUUCUUUUAGGUUACAUAAUAUAGGCUUAAGUGAGUAGUAUAAGAGUAUAUGUAGUUUCGGCCUACAAGGUGAGAUAUUUAUUUCCUCAUUUAAUGAUAUUUGCACCGCGACGUUACAAUAUAGUUUUACGUGUUUUAGCAGGGAGGUUUUACGAUUUACCUUGCCCAAUUAAUCUUAAUAUGUGGUGAAAUUUUGGAUCUAUAAUAGGAGUAUUACUAGUAAUUCAGGUUUUAAGUGGGUUUAUUAUAGCUUGUCAUUAUACUCCACAUGAAAGGUUAGCAUUCUCCUCCGUAGUGCAUAUUAUGCAUGAUGUACACGAAGGAUGAUUAGUGCGUAGAUUACAUAGGAAUGGUGCCUCUUUCUUUUUUAUUUGUGUUUAUGCGCAUAUUGGCCGUGGGAUUUAUUAUCAUUCGUUUACUUUAACACAUACAUGAAGGGUGGGUGUAAGUAUAUAUUUACUCCUUAUAGCUAUUGCUUUUCUAGGUUAUGUAUUACCUUGGGGGCAAAUGUCUUAUUGAGGAGCUACGGUUAUUACAAAUUUGUUUACUGCUAUUCCUUAUGUAGGGCGUGUUAUUACAGAAUGAAUUUGGGGGGGGUAUAGAGUUUGCGAUGCAACCUUAAAGCGAUUUUAUGUAUUGCAUUUAUAUCUUCCGUUUGUGUUAAUAGGAUUAGCCGUAAUUCAUUUAUACUAUUUACAUGAAACAGGGUCUAAUAAUCCUUUAGGGAUUGAUGAUGGGGGAGAUUUAAUCCCAUUUCACCCUUACUAUAGACAUAAGGAUUUUUUGGGAAUCCUUAUCAUAGUAGGAGCUUUGUUGCUUAUUGUUUUAUUUGAACCAGAUUUAUUUGCUAGCCCUGAAAAUUUUAUUCCGGCUAAUCCUUACAAGACUCCCCUCCAUAUUCAGCCGGAGUGAUACUUUCUAUUUGCCUAUACAAUUUUACGUAGAGUGCCUAACAAGGGAGGGGGGGUUGCUGCGCUGGCUGCUUCUGUACUUAUUUUAUAUGCUCUUCCAUUACGUCCUAAGUAUUUCCAUCUAGGGUUAGCAUUUUACCCUGUAUCUCAAGCGUUUUUUUGGCUUUUUGUAAGAAGUUUUAUAAUAUUGACUUUUAUUGGAAUACGACCAGUUCAGGAGCCUUAUAUUUUUAUAGGCCAAGUAAGAAUGGUAAUUUAUUUUAUGUAUUUCCCUCUUCAAGGUGUGCUUGAACGAGGAUGGGAUAUCUUAAUAAGGUACUUACAAUUUAGAAUUUAUGAGGAGGAUUCCUCUCAUUCUGCACAUGAAAAGAGAAAUGUUUUAUUUUAUGAUGGAGGAAAGGAAUUAGAGUGAAAUGAUUUAUAGUGAUAGGGAGUAGCAUAAAUAGUGCGUCUCAUUUACACUGAGAAAGUGGCCUGUAGGUCCUUCCUACUAAUUAGUGAAAUAGGUUGUAAGUUAUUAGACUGUAGGAUUUCAGCACCUAAAGAGGGAAAUUUCUCCCCGGCCUAAUAAAUAGAAAAUGUAUAGCGUGUUUAUGGUUAUAAAACUUAGAUGUUUGUAUGUACCUAUAGUAUAUUGUGUAUAUCCGCCUUCCAAGCGGAUGGUCGGCUGGUGCCGUGGGUAUAAAGUUAUAAUAUUUAUAAAUAAGUGAUUAAACCACCGCGCUCUUCGAUAGCUCUGCGUUAAAUAGAGUGCAAAUGCCAAAAUUUUAGUCGGAAUUUCUAUUUCUUCUAGGUAUGUUUAAAUUUAAUUUGGCCGGGAGGAGAAAAAGGGGUAAGGCAAACUAAAGUUAUAGGUAUAAACCACUAUAAACAAUAAAUUACUGCGAACGGGAAGAAUUUAGAUGGAGAAGAAGGAAUUUUUUUUUUUUUUUAAUAUUAAGGUAGUUUGAAUUAAAUUGAUGAGAUGCUUUUAUUAUUAACGUUGUGAGUGGGGUAUUAAAUACUCCUCUUAGAGAAUAGAUUAAAUGGAAACAAGUGUAAAAUGAGUAAAAUGUAUUAGUUAGAGAUUUUAGGCGUAACAGCUAUAUGUGUAAGAAUCAUAAGUUAUGACAUGAAAAACCAUGGUUAUGACACUAAAAAUCACAAAGUAUAGCGAUUCUUACAUUUUGAAAAAUUUUGAAGAGGUUAUAAAUUAUCUCAAAUAAAGGUCAAGUAAAGACAACACCUACCGUAAGCCACAGAAAGAAAGGUAUAUACUUAUAUACCCCUAUGGGGGGAGGGGGGGCCCGGGGAAAGGGCCCCCCCUCCCCCCAUAGGGGUAUAUAAGUUUAUAUAUAAGAUUAUGUAUAUGAGGGUCCUCCUUCCACUUUUAGCAGAUAUAAGUUGUACACCUUAGGGGGGAAGUACCCGAUGAUAGGGGGGUUCUCCCCUAAGGUGUACAACUUAUAUAUGGAAGAGUGGUAACGAUUUGUACGUAGUUGUGCCGUGUAGCUAUGCUACACUGAGUGAGGGGGAGAGAAAUCCCGAUCAUAUCAAAUGGAGGGUGUAUAUAGGAAUAUAAAUUAUACUUCAGUAUAAUGUUAUAUUGCUGUAUGAUAUGACGUAUAUUGUAUAUACUGUAAUUAUACUAUUAUAAUGGGGAGGUACAUAGAACUCUGGGUGUAUACCCUUAAUAGAGUAUAUAUAUAGCAGUAUAGAUUAUACUUUAUUAUAAUCUAUACUGCUAUAUAUUUGUGUAUUAUAAUCCCUCCUGUAUGUUCUAUACAGGAGGUAUAUAUAGGGAUAUAGCUUAUACCCCAGUAUAAGUCUAUAUUCCUAUAUAUUUGUAUGUUAUGGUGUACAGGUUCAAGGUGUGUUAUAGAGGUGUGGCUUGUGGGUAGGAAGGUGGAUUCUCGCCUGAUUAUAUAUUGUGUGCAGGAGGGGAUAUGUAGGAGUAAUAGAUUAUUUAAAGGUGUAAAACUAUAUAUUUACAUAUUUGCAAUAUUUAUGUAAGCAUUGGAGGUAAUAUACGUCUCUUUGUAUAGGUGUGUAAAUUAAAGGGUAUGAUAAGGUAUUUGGGAUUUAUUUAACUAUUCAUGUAAUUUGUGAAUAAGCAGUUUGAAGGGCAUAAUAUAUUUAUACUUACCUUCUUGUGGAGAGGAUCAGGGGAGGAAUAUCAGCUCCCCUGAUAAAAUUGAAUAAUUUUAUUAUAUAUUUCGCUAUUUGGGGUAUUUUUAUUUUAUAGUUAGAGAUAUUAAGCUUAUACCUUAUUUUAUUUGUAAAAAUUGUAAAAAUUACGGCAAUGGCAAACUUGUUAAAAAAUGAAAAAAUAUUUAAAAUUUAAAAUUAGGUUUAAUAAAAUCUUUUUAAAUGAAAAAUUAGUGGACAUAUGCAAAAAUGUUGGAAAAAGGCUGAUUUUUGAAAAAACGAUAAGGCUCCCCCCUUAUCGAUUAAAAAUAUGGGAUUUUAUUGGUUUUAAUAUGAUAAACUUAGGGUAAAUAAUUUAUAAAAAUUCGACGCCAAAAAUUAGGAGAGUGAGUUUAUUUAAUUCUUUCUAUACAUAGUUGUUUGUUUUGACGAAAUUUGUGAAAAAAAACGAUAAUUUUAUCGAUUUUGGGGUAUUUUUAUUUUAUAGUUAGAGAUAUUAAGCUUAUGCCUUACUUUAUUUGUAAAAAUUGUAAAAAAUUAUGAAAAAAGGCCUUUUUUAUCAAUUCGGGGUAUUUUUAUUUUAUAGUUAGAGAUAUUAAGCUUAUACCUUAUUUUAUUUGUAAAAAUUGUAAAAAAAUUACGGAAAUGAAAUUAUUUAUAAUUAGGGGAAGUUUGUAUUAUUUUAUUGUUUUCUAAAUUAUGUAAUAGUACAUUUAAAUUAUAUAGUUAAAGUUUUACGCGUUUAUAUAACUGCGCGUUAAAUAGGAGGGAUAGAUGAAAAUUUUGGUUGGAUUUUUUUCUUUCCACUGGCAUGCUUAGGCUUAUAAGUGGCGUUAUGCCGGAUAAACGGGCUACUUUGAUGUUGUAGAAAAUUUAGGUGUAAAUCCUUCUGGCGCUUUAUGAUGAUGCAAAAUUUGUCUUUAAGAGAGUCUCAAGAUUGAGAGAGACUUAUUGGCUUAAACCUAGAGUGUCUUCACGAUUAUUUAGCAGUAUUUAUGGUAGGUAUCGUGUUAGGUGUAGGUUUGUUUUUAAUGUUGGUAACUUUAAAGGAUUACGUACGAGGUUUAAGGCUUAUUGUUAGCCGUUGGGUUUAUAGACACGAGCUCACGGAGCUCUUGUGGACUAUUUUUCCUAUAAUUCUUAUUGUUAUUUUAGCGUAUCCUUCUUAUUUAUUGUUAUAUAGAAUAGGGUUAAAUGAUGGUCCUAAGUUUGUUAGUGUUAAGGUAGUUGGGCAUCAAUGGUAUUGAAGGUAUGAGUACACAGCGGAUCCAAAUUGGGUGCUUACUACUAUGGUAGACGAAUCUGCUUAUGAUCUUGGUACAGGAGGUGGUGAGCUUAGGGAUUACACUUAUGCGCCCGAUUCUUCUCGUGUUAUUGGCUAUAGAUCAUAUUGUAUAUGGCCUAAUGAGGAUUCAUAUAAGAAGGCAAUAGAGGCACUUCGAUAUGGGCAGGUAGUAGAUUUUCCUCUAGUUUUACCGGGGGAUAGAGAGGUUGAAGUUUUGGUUACGUCUGCUGAUGUUAUUCAUUGUUGAACUUUAAAUGGUUUAGGAGUAAAGGUGGAUGCUGUGCCAGGGCGUGUUAAUACGGUGCAUUUAUCCAAUUUGCGGCCUGGAACUACAUUAUGAGGGGGGUGUUCCGAGAUAUGUGGGGUAAACCAUUGGCAUAUAUCAACAGAAGUGGAGGUUAUUACUAUGAAGGACUUUGUUUAUUGGCUUUCGUUUAUAUUAUUGACGGAAUAUGAGGAUGAAUGAGCAGUAUAAGAGUUUAUGAAUAUUUAAGAAGUAUAUUAUAUAGUUGUAGUAGGUUUGGUGCGAAGAGUGUUUGGCCCUAGCUCUAGGUUAACUGAAUGUUUAAGUUUAAUACAUGGCACUACAUGGGAUAUCGGGAGGUACAGGCUACAUAAAGUUUAUUUAAAUAGUUUAGGUUAUGGGCCUUUGGGGUUAGCCGUUAGCAUUAUUGCGAGGAUGGUAUAUGUAUUUUCCCUACACCAGUAUAAGAUUUUAGAAAACACGGUAACGUUGAUUUAGGCUGGACAUAACAAAGGAGGUAAAGACAGUGCCAGCACCUGCGGUUAAACUGUUCCUUUUAGUUAAUCUAUACGAAGAGGAGUAAUUAGUUAAAGUAAGAAUAAAACAGUAUAGAACUCCGGUAAAAUGGUAUUUAUAAAGUAUAUCCUUUAAUUCUUGAAACUUAAAACUCGAAAAUCUGUGACAAAGACUGGGAUUAGAGACCCCAUUAUUUAAGACGUAUAUAAAUCUUCGGGGAGUAUGAACAGAUGGUGUUUAAAAACUAAAGGGCUUGGCGGUGCAUUGUAUUCGUCCAGGGGAACUUGACGGUUAAAUCGAUGGUCCUCGAAUUACCUUACCUUUUUAAAUCUUGCUAUACCGCCGUUGACAGUUAGACCUUCUCAUAAAGGUACAAAUUUUUCCGUAGGAAGUGCUAAGUUCACUUAGGAAUUCAGGUAAACGUGGCGGGUAUAAAAAGGGCUUAGUUGAGUUACAAUCUAAUAUGGUCGGAUUUGUAACUGAAAUAGUAUAUAUGAAGAAGGACUUGGUAGUAAGUUGUAGUAAGGGUUUAUAACUGAAUUGUAUAUCGAUGUGCGUACAAACUGCCCGGUGCCCCCGCAUAAUCAAAGUGGGGUAAGCCGUAACAUGGUAAUUUUACUAGAAAGUGGUGUUAUUUAAGUAGGUUAGAAUAUAUUUAGUAAUAAGAGGAAACUAGGGGUAUAAGGAAGCUUCUAACUUCUUUUAUGAGCAGUUCGAGUCUGUUCUUCCUUUAUGUAAAGUAAUUUAAUGGUAGAGUUAUAAAUAUGCCACAGUUUGCUCCUUUGUUUUGAUGUGCUGUUUUAUUUAUUGUAUGAGCUAUAGUGAGGGUAGUAUGUGUGCUUCUCUGAUGGUUGCCUGGAAAGGAGUAUAGCUUUAAGUAUCGGGGGUAGGGUUAAGUAGUUUGUAGUGAUAGUUGUAGUUUUUUGAGGGUGUUAUUCAAUAGUAUUAGUGUCUUUAUUAAUAUGUAGUGUCACUCAUCCUUUAAGGAUAGGUGCUUCUAUUUUAAUUUUAUAUACUAUUAGUAGGGUGGUUGUGUGUUUUGGGGCUAGAUUUGUUGUUGGAGUAUUUUUAUUUUUGACAGGCGUGAGAGGCAUACUGGUAGCGUUUCUUUAUGCUGUAGCGUUAUGCCCUAAUCCUGUGUUCACAACUAAGGUUUAUGACGUUUACCCUCAGGAUAAGUAUUUUAAUGUUAACUGGUGACAAGUGUUGGUAAUAAUCUUCCCUUUAGUUGUUGGACUUUUUAGGUAUAUACGUUCUUUUUAUUUGGAGGGCGGCUAUAUGAGACAUAAGUACCAGUGGAUGCGGGAUCCGGAAAUAGGUGGGGGAUUGACUGAACUGAUACCGUUUAUGGGGGUGUUAUUGUUUUUAUGUGUAGUAAUGGUAGCCUUUAUGUGUAGACACCAAAAGCAAUGUUUAGGUGGGCAUAAGAAGGGUGCUGUAGGUACUAAGCGUAGGUACGACUAGUAGGAAAUAUAAUUUUAAGGUAGUUAUCUGAAUUAGCAUAUAAGGUGUAUUAUUUAAGAUGUCUGUUAGGUAUAUUCUGUUGGGAAUAAGUAAUUAGUAGAAAAGAAUCGUUUAGUUCUGGUACUUUUUGCAUCAUGGCUUAUAGAGUGAGAUAAGUUUGGUUGAUUCCUGAAAGCCCUUGAGCUUUCCUGACUAAAGAGAGAAUUAUAAUGGCCUUAGGGGGAAUAAAAUAUUUUAGGACUUUUAUGAGCAUUUCUAUUAAACUAAUGUUGUAGAAUUAAUUUUAAGGUUAGGAAAGGUGUGAAAUGCUAUUCGUAAGGGUUGGUAGCUGGUUAGAGGGGAAACAUAUAUCAGUAUGGGGCUAAAUAAAUAUUUUUCUUAUAAUAAAGUGAAAAUUGUUUAGUACUUAUGUUAUUGGGUUCCGCUCGGUAAUAUAAAUAGUGAGAAUUAAUUGUUUAGUAGGAUUAGUAGUGUUCAUCUAUAUAAUAUUAGUAUAAAAUAACUAAGUUAAGAAUUUUUAAUUAGGUACCCUUUUACUGUGUAAAAUGUCUAUACAUUUAAUUAGUAUAAGAUUAGUAGAUUAGCGGUUUAAUAAUAUAUCCAUUUACAUGAAAAGUGGAAGUUUAUGAUUUAAGUAGUAGGUAGUAUAUAAACGUGGGUACUACACCACAUUUACAUACUGUUGUAAAAAAUUAUUCUUAAUGAACUCGGCAAAUAUUUUCUGCGCCUGUUUACUAAAAACAUCGCCUCUUGAUUUUUGUUGAAAAGGGGUCUGUCCUGCCCGGUGAGCAAUAGCUUUAACGGUCGCAGUUAAAACUGUGCUAAGGUAGCGCAAUCAAUCGUCCUUUAAUUGGGGAAAGGUAUGAAGGAUUGACGUGGAAAGUCUUUAUUAAGAGUAUAUAUUGAAUUUUACAUCUUGGUGCAAAGGCUAAGAUAAUAUUGUUAGACGAGAAGACCCUAUUGAGCUUGGUAUAAUUCUUAGGUAAGUUUACUUAUUUAAGGGUAGCAUGUUUUUUCGGGAAAGCUAGGGAGGAAAAACUAUGCCUCCCUUUUUAAUAUGCAGAUCCAGCAUGGCUGAUAAAAAGAAGAUAGUUACCAUAGGGAUAACAGCACAAUCGCCCCGACGAGGUCUUAUUUGAGGGGCGGUUUGUAACCUCGAUGUUGAAUUAAGAUUUCUUCUAGGUGUAGCAGCUUAGAAAGUGGGACUGUUCGUCCUUUAAAAUCUUACAUGAUUUGAGUUUAGACCGGCGUGAGCUAGGUCAGUUUCUAUCUACAUGUUAAUUGUCUUUGUACGAAAGGAUCGGACUGUGUAACUAUAAUGUUGUUAAUGAAUUUAUAAUAUUAAUGCAGAGGUAAACUAUAUAGGUUAACGGGCUCAUGCCCCGGAUGAGGGUGUAUCACCCCCUUUGUUUAUGUUUGCUGAUGCAUUUUCGUGUUUUGAUUAUGGUAGUGGUUUAGAGUUGGUUAUAUAUGUAAGAUGGUUUAGAGGAUUUAUCUCAUUGUGUUUUGUACUAAGUAAUAGUGAUUACUGAAUAGUUAACAAUAGGUUUAGGUUAAGAAUAAAGUUAUUUUCUCGUUGAGUGGAUACUAGAAUAGGUUCUAUUAGAGGGGGAAUUUAUGGGCGAAGGCUUUUUAUUACAGGGUUAGGCACCUAUUUGGCUUAUGUGUCUUGUUUUAGUAGGUUUCCCUAUGUAUUUUGUGUGACGGCUCAUUUUUCUCAUAAUUUAGCUUUAUCUUUGGUUUUAUGAUUUACUGUUGUUUUUAUAAGGGGGGCUAUUAGUAUAACAGGGGUAAUGAGGCAUAGAGUUCCUGAUGGUCUCCCGUGAUUUACAGGAUGAGCUAUUAGGUUGUUAGAGCUUUUUAGGAACUUAAUUCGUAGUUUAACUUUAGGUGCCCGAUUAAGUAUAAAUAUAAUCGCAGGUAAGUUUUUAUUAAUAUUAGGAAGGAGGGUUAUAAGGGCUUUUCUUUUUAGUAGAGGGUUAAUAGGGUUGUGUAGAGUAAGAGGCUUAUGUAGUACUAUUGUGUUAUUGAUUUUUAUUACUUGAGAAUUGGCAGUAAAUAUUUUGCAGGCUAGAAUUUUUGGGUUUCUUUUAGGAUAAAGUAUAGGGAGGAGAUUCCUUUGAGGAGCCGUAAGGUUGUUUUAAAGAGGUAGCUGUUAAUAUAGCAAAAAUUAUGGUUUAGUGGGUGAAAGUUCGGUUUUAUUAUGUAUAUAUAGGUGGGGAUAUGUAUAUAUGUAUACGUAUAUUUAUAUUUGGUCUAUGUGAUAGUAAAGGUUUUUAUAAAUGAAGACUUAAAGAGUUUAAGUCGAAGGAUAGCAACUUUAAGGAGGCCUCGUAUCCCACGAACAGGAUACCACUUAGUUGACCCAAGGCCGUGGCCUAUUAUAAUUAGUGCUGGGGUAGUUAAUCAGGCUGCAGGGUUUAUUAGUUUGGUUCAUGGAGGGGCCUUUACUAAGGUUAAUUUUAUAUGUGCAGGGUUUUUAUUAGGUAGAUCUUUUUAUUCAUGAAUAAUAGAUAUCAUUACAGAGGCAACAUAUCUAGGAUGCCAUACUUCAAUUGUGGCACGAGGAUUAAAGAUUGGUUUUGUUUUUUUCUUGUGUUCAGAAGCCUUCUUUUUUGUAGGAUUUUUUUGAGCGUGGUUUCAUUCGGGAUUAGGUUGUUUAGCAGAAGGUGAUAGUUGACCUCCUUAUCCAAUUAUUCCUGUAAGGCCUCAUGGUGCGCCUUUUUUUAAUACCAUAUUGUUAAUUGUUUCUGGGGGUUUGGUAAAUUGAGCACAUCGUGCUAUUGUACUUCAUGCCCGUGAGGCAGCUAUAUUGCCUUUAGGAUUAUGUGUCUUAGCAGGGGCAUUAUUUUUACGAUUUCAGUAUUUGGAAUAUUAUGCUGCUUCAUUUUCUAUUGCUGAUAGGGCUUAUGGAAGAUGUUUUUACAUAUUAACUGGUUUGCAUGGAGCGCAUGUCUUAGGGGGGACGUUAUUUUUAGCUGCAAUAUGGGUUCGAAAUUAUUGUUGCCAUUUUGUAAAGGGGCAUCGGUGUUUAGGUAUGACAUUUGCCACUUGGUACUGGCAUUUUGUAGAUGUAGUAUGGAUUUUAGUUUUUGCAUGGGCUUAUGUGUGGCCUUAUAUAAAUUUUAAGGACGGUAAGUUAUUAUGAUUUUUGUAGUUAGUAUUAAGUAAUUUAUUUUAUGCCAUGGGGACUUUUAUUAGCACCAUCAUUUAUUGUUUUUAUAGGGUUGUCUUUGUUAGGUUUAUUAUCAGUGUUUUUGAGUGGUGGUAUCUUUGGGGUAUGGUUUUCUUUAGAGUUAAUAUUUUUUGGGUUUAUUCCUAUUUUGAACGGGAAGACAGUUAGUGAGAAUGAAAGAACUAUUAAGUAUUUUGUAGUACAAAGGAUUAGAUCAAGUAUUUUAUUAGUGGGGUUUUUACUUAUUAUCGGGGAUUAUUCAACUAUAAGAUACAAUCAGUGGUGGAGGAUAUUGGGGGAAGUUGUAGUACUUUUAGGAUUUAUUUUGAAGGUGGGAGUAUUCCCUAUGCAUUUUUGAUUUCCUGGAGUUAUAGGGGGUAUCUCUUGAUUUAGUUGUUUUUGGUUGAGGGUUGCCCAAAAGAUUGGUCCAUUGUGAGCGAUCUCAGGAUUGGGAAUAAGUAGUAAUAUAAUAAAUUUAUUUUGUUUUUUAUUAGUGGCGACAUCGGUGGUGGGAGCCCUCGGGGGGUUUGCACAAGUUCAAUUUCGUCCUUUAUUGGCUUAUUCCUCAUUAGGGCAGAGAGGAUGGAUAGGGCUUAUUUGUCUUUUAAAUUUAAAGGUGUUUAUAUUUUAUAUAACUAUUUAUAGGAUUAUUUUAGGGGGGCUAAUUUGUAGACUUCAUAUAGGAAAUGCCUAUCGUUUGGUUGAGGUACCUGGGUGAAGUGAUAAAAUUACUAGUAGUUUUUGAAUAAUUAGAGGGGGAUUUUUUUUAUCUUUAGGAGGAUUGCCUCCACUAUUAGGUUCUUCCUUAAAGAUAGUUGGGGUAUUGACAAUUAUUAGUAGGUAUCCUGGAUAUUUAUUUAUUUUAAUUGGUUGUGCAAUAUUUAGAUUAUACUAUUAUUUAAGUGUAUUCAUUAGCUGUAUAGUGUGUGUGGGUGUAGGUAGGUCGUCGAUUAUUGAUGGUAUAGUAUUUAGACAGUUAGGUGCCUUACCUUUAAGUCUAAUAAUAGUGCUAAAUUGGUUAGGGGGUCUGCCAGCUUUUUUAGUUUGUAGUAGGUUAGUUGUUUCAGGUUGUAGUUUAUAAAAAAUUAAAGCUUUGGGAGCGUUAGAUCUCGUGUUCGGGUAACCUGAUGUGCAGAAAAGUGUAUUGGCACAUAAAUUUUUGGAAUUUAUAGAGAUGGGUUAGUCCAUCUUUUGCAGGCUUUGUAGUUUAAAAAAAACUUUAAGUUGCAGCCUUAAUGAUGGAGAAUUCCCAAAGCCUUAGCGUAGUACUUUAAGUUAAAAGAUUGGUUUUGCAUGCUAACAUUGGGAAAUUAUUCCCUUACGCUGUUCGAAUAGUUUAAACUUAGAAAAAUUCAGCACUGAAGAUGCUGGG